UGGGGGAUUUUGCACAAUGGGCGCAAGCCUGAUGCAGCGACGCCGCGUGAGGGAUGAAGGCCUUCGGGUUGUAAACCUCUUUCGCUGGGUUGAAAGGCCAUGCUUUGGGUGUGGUUGAUUUGAACUGGUAAAGAAGUACCGGCUAACUACGUGCCAGCAGCCGCGGUAAUACGUAGGGUACUAGCGUUGUCCGGAUUUAUUGGGCGUAAAGGGCUUGUAGGUGGUUUGUCGCGUCUGUCGUGAAAUCCUGUGGCUUAACCAUGGGCUUGCGGGGGGUACGGGCAGGCUGGAGUGCGGUAGGGGAGACUGGAAUUCCUGGUGUAGCGGUGGAAUGCGCAGAUAUCAGGAGGAACACCGGUGGCGAAGGCGGGUCUCUGGGCCGUUACUGACACUGAGGAGCGAAAGCGUGGGGAGCGAACAGG
This 422-nucleotide ribosomal RNA is filed under the name Fusobacteriota bacterium. Its description in RNAcentral is "Fusobacteria bacterium partial 16S ribosomal RNA". It matches the Rfam family "Bacterial small subunit ribosomal RNA", at positions 355 to 776 of the family's 1533-position model. Lineage: Bacteria; Fusobacteriati; Fusobacteriota. The record is from RNAcentral.